This 75-nucleotide transfer RNA is filed under the name Candidatus Magasanikbacteria bacterium CG10_big_fil_rev_8_21_14_0_10_47_10. RNAcentral's name for it is "tRNA-Glu". It matches the Rfam family "tRNA". Rfam says of the family: Transfer RNA (tRNA) molecules are approximately 80 nucleotides in length. Their secondary structure includes four short double-helical elements and three loops (D, anti-codon, and T loops). The record is from RNAcentral. Lineage: Bacteria; Candidatus Magasanikiibacteriota.
GGCCUCAUCGUCUAAUGGUUAGGACGCCUGGUUCUCAUCCAGGUAAUAGGGGUUCGAUUCCCCUUGAGGCUACAA